RNAcentral lists this ribosomal RNA (254 nucleotides) under uncultured bacterium. RNAcentral describes it as "partial 16S ribosomal RNA". It matches the Rfam family "Bacterial small subunit ribosomal RNA", at positions 524 to 776 of the family's 1533-position model. The record is from RNAcentral.
UACGUAGGGUGCGAGCGUUGUCCGGAAUUAUUGGGCGUAAAGAGCUCGUAGGCGGUGUGUCACGUCGGCCGUGAAAACCUGGGGCUUAACUCUGGGCGUGCGGUCGAUACGGGCAUCACUAGAGUUCGGCAGGGGAGACUGGAAUUCCUGGUGUAGCGGUGGAAUGCGCAGAUAUCAGGAGGAACACCGGUGGCGAAGGCGGGUCUCUGGGCCGUUACUGACGCUGAGGAGCGAAAGCGUGGGGAGCGAACAGG